ACAAGUGUACAGCAAUGGACGAAGUGUAUCGGUGCUGCAGCACAAGACCUGUCAAGCUGUAGAGUAUGUGGAGCUAUAGGUGGGCUGAAACAAGGAACGAACUAGCACCAUGUUAGUUAUAAAAGCGAGCUGAAUAAACGCUCAACGGUGGUACUGUGCUGGUCCUAGCCUAGACCGUGCUAGAGACGCGAGCCUGGACACAAAGGGAAAACACAGCACACCACUAGAAACAAAAUGAGCAGCCCUACUGGAAACAAAAAGAACAACAAUCCCCUUCUUUUGAUUUUUUUUCUUUUUUCUUUCUUUCUUUCUUUUUUUUCUUUUUUUGGGGAACCUCAAAACCUGAUUAUAUAAACGAAAUAGUACAAAAUAUCACUUCACCACUCUCACCCUCUCACUAGAGUAAGGCUGAACCUCAAAAUUCAAUAUAUCUAGCACAAGUAUGAAGUGCUAUCUUUCCUUUUGGAUCACGUUGACGGAAACGCAGAAUAGACAAACAAGUGGCUGCACCUAUUAUCAAGAUCUACUCAAAUUCCAACCCACAAUAGAUUGGACGCAGUUGUGACUAGAUGGUGACAAGAACUCAAAACUCUAAAGGACUAAACUAAAACCAGCACUGGACACGACCGAAGCAAACACUCAUUCAACCAGCCCUAACUAAGUAGUACUAGCCACGGCACAAAGGAUUUAUAGGAUUAUGAAAACAAAUCUGCUAUAUUUUUUGUCUUUUUUUUGGACUAUAGGAAAAACAAACACGAAGAAUUGGAAAUCUCUCACCGAUAAACCUUGCUCUGAUUACCAACUGAUGUGAACCCACGAGGGUUUUCGCCUGAUCUUUCGAUGAGAGGCGCUGGAUAACUCGAUUAGUGAAUGGAGAUGACGUUCACGGCCCGACUACAGCCCUCAAGACUGCGCCUUAGCAACCGAUACACCGCCUCCAAUGGCUUUCACGAUCUUGUGGAGCGCAACACCCGGCCACUAGGACACUCGUCCUGCAAGCAAUCAAAGAACCAGCAAGAACAAGUAGAACAAGUACUAAAUUACCAGAUGUAAAUGAAGGUUUCAAACUCAAUCUCUAAUGAAGUGGGGUUUCGAAAACAAGAAGACGGGCGGCUGGAUCAGCACGCGCGUUUACAAGCAAGUAGCGAAGGCUAAACUUUAUCUAAUCAAAACCCAGUUGUUCAUGGCGGCUCUAGAUGUAAAUAAAUAGAGGGGAGGACGACCAAAGGGGUGCUAGAGUCGUCCUCCAACCCUAGGACGCGUCCCUAAUGGACUCAACUUGAUACAUGGGCCAUUGGUCCAAAAUAGGGUGACG
This 1315-nucleotide long non-coding RNA is filed under the name Sorghum bicolor (sorghum). RNAcentral's name for it is "long non-coding RNA (SBIC_LNC018476)". The record is from RNAcentral. Lineage: Eukaryota; Viridiplantae; Streptophyta; Magnoliopsida; Poales; Poaceae.